This 3613-nucleotide long non-coding RNA is filed under the name Paramuricea clavata. Lineage: Eukaryota; Metazoa; Cnidaria; Anthozoa; Malacalcyonacea; Plexauridae. The record is from RNAcentral.
CGCUAUCAAAACAACAGGAGUGAGAAAUAUGGCGGAUUUUGUAAAGCCGAUUCACCGCCAUAAAGCUUCAGUUUUGGAAGGACACGGUCUUCUUUUUGUUCAUUGUGGAUCGUCAGAGCCUAUGCGGUUGCUGUUGGUUCCUAUGGGUUAUCGUGUGUUCAGUUUCAAUGCCGCGAGAUUCACAUCAGAAGAAUCGCUAUAUUUGUCUCUAAAAGUUGAUGAAAUCUUCGCCUAUUGCAAUAGCGUUGGUUCCUAUGGGUUAUCGUGUGUUCAGUUUCAAUGCCGCGAGAUUCACAUCAGAAGAAUCGCUAUAUUUGUCUCUAAAAGUUGAUGAAAUCUUCGCCGAUUGCAAUAGCCCAGCAUUGAUAGAGUAUAGAGAUACAUUCCAGUUGUGUUUUUAGGGUAAGUCGUUUGUUUUAAUCCUUAAAGCCAAUACAAAGGCAAUGUAUCUACGCAAUGCUUCUUGCUUUUUCUAUGAUUCACAUUUUUAUAGCCAAUAUUGGUAAAAAUAUUUGUGCUUUCUAUUUUGAAUAUAGAUAGAUAGAUAUUUAUUAAUAUAUGAAUAUGAAUAUAUGCAUAUAGAGCUAAAAAAUAGUUUAAGUUAGAGAAGCCAACACUGUUCAUUUGGUUUGAUCAUAGAGGUUUGAUUACUUUGGUAUUUUAUACGUACCAUUAAAGUAAUUAACCCAUUGAAUUGCAUCGAGUUGCAUUAAUUGCACCCUACUUUAUUAUUUUACUCUAACACCAGAUUAUUUUACUCUUUCUAAUGGCAGCUGGCCUAUCUGCCCAUGUGCCUAGUUAACCCAUUGAGUCACAUUGUGCCCUCAUGCGCCCUACUUUAAUAUUUUACUCUGUCUAACGUUGUUAAACAGAAGAUUGUUUUUAUAUAUUGCAGUUCUCUGACCUCAGUGAUCUAAGACGAGAUGGAACAGGACAAUCUUUUAUCUUUGGGAAUGUUAUUUUGUGGGAUUUCUAGAUUUUGUGGCACUUAAAGGGUUAAACAGAAGAUUGUUUUUAUAUAUUGCAGUUCUCUGACCUCAGUGAUCUAAGACGAGAUGGAACAGGACAAUCUUUUAUCUUUGGGAAUGUUAUUUUGUGGGAUUUCUAGAUUCUGGCAUUGCCACCUUCUCAAACAAUUCAACCUCAAGGUCCAGAUACUGUUAAUGAAGAUUUGGACAGUGUGCUGUCACUAAUAAAUUUACAAGGGCAAACUGGAUAUAACUGUGAUCUACAACCAAUAAAUUCAGUGUGCUUGGUGGGUACUAUUACUCUACAGUGCAGCAUUGCUUAUUGCAAAAAGUGGACCAUGGGACAGAGAUGAUCCAAGAAACAAUUAUAACAGUGACAUAGAUUACUAGAAUAUUGUAAAUUGAUGUUUGUGAUGUUAUUCUGAGUGUGCAUCCACACCGGGCAAGCUGAAAAGUUUGCCUGACCAUGGUGGGAAUCGAACUUGCCAUCUUUGGGAUAUUAGUCCAAUUAUGCUCUACCAACUGAGCUCAGCUCGGUGUGGAUGCAUACUCAGAGUAACAUCACAAACAUAUUCACCUGAGUAAAUAACACCAACACACACAAGAAGUAUAUUGUAAAUUGUUGUUAUUUUAUUAUGGAUUCCUACAUAUUUAUUUUAUUAUGGAUCCCUACAAUUGGGUCAUUCCAGAAAACAUCCAUACCGCCCCCACAGAGGAAAUAGGAAGUUAACCCCCCUACCCCCUUCGGAUGUCCUAAUACAUUUACUAUUAUCAGAAACAAUUUUUUCUCCCCUUCCCCUCCGGACGGCAGAAAUUUCCUCUGUGGGGGGAGUAUGGAUCUUUUCUGGAACGACCCAUUAUAACAGUGACAUAGAUUACUAGGCUAAUGCGGUAAAUUGUUGUUAUUUUAUUUUGUUAUGGACAAAAUUUCUCCAGAUCCAUGGAUCUUUUUUGGCAAUAGAUAUCAACUUGAUCAAAGCUUUAUUUUCUUCAAAGGUCCAUUUAUGUUUUUUUCACUGGUAACUUCUCUGACAGAGUCAGCCUGAUCUUUCUGCUAGGAAACUACAAAAAAGUAUGUCAUUUACUAAAAUGGAAAUUGGGGUGCAGAUGACAUAUGAAUAAACAGACAUACAUGAAUAAUGUUACACUGCAGAAUAAUGUUACACAGAGGUAUUAAGGUGGAGUAAUACAGACAAAAAAAUAGCUGCAAUUUGCAACAAAAUCUGAUUUCAACAGAUGUUAAUACAUGAAUAAUGUUACACUGCAGAAUAAUGUUACACAGAGGUAUUAAGGUGGAGUAAUACAGACAACAAAAUAGCUGCAAUUUGCAACAAAAUCUGAUUUCAACAGAUGUUAAGUGGAGAUGUUGACACAUAACUUAAUACAAGUCAUAGAAAUGUUGACAGAUGUUGCCUCGUACAUGCGUUGAAAUCAGAUUUUGUUGCAAGUUGCAGCAAUUUUGUUGCUCGUAUUUACUCCAGCUUUACACUGAAUAUACAAAGACAAUUUAUAAGAAUAAAAUAGCAAAGAAUAACAGUACAUUUAUAAGUACAAUUUCGUCUACCAUAUUUUUUUUAUUAUACCUUUGCUGAUGUGCCAAGACUUUGAAACAAAGCUCGAUUGAAUGGAGUGAAUGAUGAACUCUCCACACGAGAUAUUUUCCUGGCGUAUCAGUAUUAAAUUUGAGUUUCCUCAUUUUCUAAAUCAUGAUCAACAAUGACAACAUCGCCAUCAUUAAUAGUUCCAUUUUUUCUCCAAUAAACUCGAAUAAGUCGAAUUCUAUAAAAACAAAUGAUACAAUCAGGAACAAUACGUUUAUAGAAAAGCUGGCUUGUUUACGUUGCAUUCGCGCCAUAUUUCCUGUAGAAUUCCUCUUUUCCCGCGAUUGGUGACAACAAAAGUAAAAAUACCCCAUUUUCAAACAACGAUUACUCGUCUGUUUCAGGGGGUUAUUUAUGUUUUAAGGUACCAAUAGAAAGAGUAACCCUUACUGAAUACAAUGAUGUGAAUUUUAUUGAAUUUCCCGAUUUAUAAACCUAAUAACCCCCUGCAUAUAUCAAAGCCGUUUUCGUGUCAUGGCACUAUACCGGGAAUAUACCCCAUUUUCAAACCGCGAUAACUCGUCGGUUGGAGGGGAUUAUUAAUGUUUUAAAGUAUCAGCUAGAACCGUGACCCUCCCCGAAUUCAAUGAUGUGAAUUUUGCUGAAUUUCCCGAUUUAUAAACUAUUUAACCCCCGGCGUAUAUCAAUGCCAUUUCUUUUAUAGCCCCGAAAUAUACCCCAUUUUCAAACCGCGAUAACUCGUCAGUUCGAGGGGGUUAUUUGUGUUUUGAAGUAUCAAUAGAAAGAAUAACCCUUUCUGAAUUCGAUGCUGUAAAUUUUGUUGAAUUUCCUGAUUUAAAAAGUAUUUAACCCCCGGCGAGUAUCGGAGGCAUUUUUGUAACAUGUGCACUGACCCGAAACCAAGGGUAAUUCAAUGCGUGAUUAACAUCACUGAAGCAUGAUACGACAACCACAUAAAACAAAAAUUGUGCAAUUAAGGUCACAAAUAAAACAAUUAUAAAAACGUACCUUCCAAAAAUCAAAAUUUUCAGAGUGAAAAUUCGCGAUAGAAAACCACAAUUUUUCGACAAACAUCUCUCAAAG